GGGUGUACAGCUCAGAGGUAGAGUGUGUGCCUGGCGUGCAUGAGGUCCUGGGUUCAAUCCCCAGUGCCUGCA
Molecule: transfer RNA, 72 nt
Filed under: Camelus bactrianus (Bactrian camel)
Lineage: Eukaryota; Metazoa; Chordata; Mammalia; Artiodactyla; Camelidae
Also listed under: 2 other names
Rfam family: tRNA
About the family: Transfer RNA (tRNA) molecules are approximately 80 nucleotides in length. Their secondary structure includes four short double-helical elements and three loops (D, anti-codon, and T loops).
Source: Rfam by way of RNAcentral